RNAcentral lists this ribosomal RNA (286 nucleotides) under uncultured bacterium. RNAcentral describes it as "partial 16S ribosomal RNA". It matches the Rfam family "Bacterial small subunit ribosomal RNA", at positions 333 to 615 of the family's 1533-position model. The record is from RNAcentral.
CUAUUCCUACGGGGGGCAGCAGUGAGGAAUAUUGGUCAAUGGGCGGGAGCCUGAACCAGCCACGUCGCGUGAGGGAAGACGGUCCUAUGGAUUGUACACCUCUUUAGGCGGGGAGCAAUGCCGGGCACGUGUGCCCGGAGGGAGAGUACCCGCAGAAUAAGCAUCGGCUAACUCCGUGCCAGCAGCCGCGGUAAUACGGAUGAUGCGAGCGUUAUCCGGUUUUAUUGGGUUUAAAGGGUGCGUAGGCGGUUUUUUAAGUCAGCGGUAAAAUGUCCGGGCUCAUCCC